This 291-nucleotide unclassified non-coding RNA is filed under the name Hevea brasiliensis (rubber tree). The record is from RNAcentral. Lineage: Eukaryota; Viridiplantae; Streptophyta; Magnoliopsida; Malpighiales; Euphorbiaceae.
CUUCUUUGGUGGUGGUGGUGCUUGUUGAAGUAGAAGACAAAGGUGUCUCAGAGGUGGCUCUGAUAAUGGAAAUUGAUGUUCUGGGUGCUUUCCGGCUGCUGGGAAUUGAACGGAAAAAAGAAGAUUGAUGGAUGUUGAGGACUCCGGCGACGGUUUCUCCGGUGGGAUCAAGAAUAGAACCAGAAGACCCUCUUCACACUUCACAGUAAAGUGGCGGCUAGAGUUGUUGUUAGUCGCUAGUCGCUACUGUUACUGUGUACUUGGGUUGGGUACUCCUAGUUCAAGAACGUG